GAUGAAGAACGUAGCGAAAUGCGAUAAGUAAUGUGAAUUGCAGAAUUCCGUGAAUCAUCGAAUCUUUGAAUGCACAUUGCGCCCCCUGGUAUUCCGGGGGGCAUGCCUGUCCGAGCGUCAUUGCAACCUUCAAGCGCGGCUUGUGUGUUGGGUCUCGUCCCCCGUGGACGGGCCCGAAAGGCAGUGGCGGCGUCCCGACAUGGUGCCCGAGCGUAUGGGAAUCCUCUUCCGCUCGAAUCGGCCCAUGCGGCGCUGGUCGUAACCAAAUUUUUUACCGGUUGACCUCGGAUCAGGUAGGGAUACCCGCUGAACUUAAGCAUAUCAAUAAGCGGAGGA
This 336-nucleotide unclassified non-coding RNA is filed under the name soil metagenome. RNAcentral's name for it is "partial contains 5.8S ribosomal RNA, internal transcribed spacer 2, and large subunit ribosomal RNA". The stretch from base 1 to 120 matches the Rfam family "5.8S ribosomal RNA", at positions 35 to 154 of the family's 154-position model. The record is from RNAcentral.